RNAcentral lists this ribosomal RNA (478 nucleotides) under uncultured soil bacterium. RNAcentral describes it as "bacterial SSU rRNA". It matches the Rfam family "Bacterial small subunit ribosomal RNA", at positions 26 to 518 of the family's 1533-position model. The record is from RNAcentral.
AGGACGAACGCUGGCGGCGUGCUUAACACAUGCAAGUCGAACGGUGAAGUCGGUGCUUGCACUGACGGAUCAGUGGCGAACGGGUGAGUAACACGUGAGUAACCUGCCCCUGACUCUGGGAUAACCCCGGGAAACCGGAGCUAAUACCGGAUACGAACCACUCAGGCAUCUGAGAGGUUGGAAAGAUUUAUCGGUCAGGGAUGGACUCGCGGCCUAUCAGCUUGUUGGUGGGUAACGGCCCACCAAGGCGACGACGGGUAGCCGGCCUGAGAGGGCGACCGGCCACACUGGGACUGAGACACGGCCCAGACUCCUACGGGAGGCAGCAGUGGGGAAUAUUGCACAAUGGGCGAAAGCCUGAUGCAGCGACGCCGCGUGAGGACGAAGGCCGUUCGGGUUGUAAACCUCUUUCAGCGAGGGAAGAAGACGAAAGUGACGGUACCUGCGAAGAACGAAGCCAACCGGACUAACGUACCGU